GAUGAAGAACGUAGCAAAAUGCGAUAAGUAAUGUGAAUUGCAGAAUUCAGUGAAUCAUCGAAUCUUUGAACGCACAUUGCGCCCGCCAGUAUUCUGGCGGGCAUGCCUGUUCGAGCGUCAUUACAACCCUCAGGCCCCCGGGCCUGGCGUUGGGGAUCGGCAGAAGCCCCCUGUGGGCACACGCCGUCCCUCAAAUACAGUGGCGGUCCCGCCGCAGCUUCCAUUGCGUAGUAGCUAACACCUCGCAACUGGAGAGCGGCGCGGCCAUGCCGUAAAACACCCAACUUCUGAAUGUUGACCUCGAAUCAGGUAGGAAUACCCGCUGAACUUAAGCAUAUCAAUAAGCGGAGGA
RNAcentral lists this unclassified non-coding RNA (352 nucleotides) under soil metagenome. RNAcentral describes it as "partial contains 5.8S ribosomal RNA, internal transcribed spacer 2, and large subunit ribosomal RNA". The stretch from base 1 to 120 matches the Rfam family "5.8S ribosomal RNA", at positions 35 to 154 of the family's 154-position model. The record is from RNAcentral.